GAUGAACGCUGGCGGCGUGCCUAAUACAUGCAAGUCGAGCGAACAGAUGAGGAGCUUGCUCCUCUGACGUUAGCGGCGGACGGGUGAGUAACACGUGGAUCACCUACCUAUAAGACUGGGAUAACUUCGGGAAACCGGAGCUAAUACCGGAUAAUAUAUUGAACCGCAUGGUUCAAUAGUGAAAGACGGUUUUGCUGUCACUUAUAGAUGGAUCCGCGCCGCAUUAGCUAGUUGGUAAGGUAACGGCUUACCAAGGCAACGAUGCGUAGCCGACCUGAGAGGGUGAUCGGCCACACUGGAACUGAGACACGGUCCAGACUCCUACGGGAGGCAGCAGUAGGGAAUCUUCCGCAAUGGGCGAAAGCCUGACGGAGCAACGCCGCGUGAGUGAUGAAGGUCUUCGGAUCGUAAAACUCUGUUAUUAGGGAAGAACAAAUGUGUAAGUAACUAUGCACGUCUUGACGGUACCUAAUCAAAAAGCCACGGCUAACUACGUG
RNAcentral lists this ribosomal RNA (497 nucleotides) under uncultured bacterium. Its description in RNAcentral is "partial 16S ribosomal RNA". It matches the Rfam family "Bacterial small subunit ribosomal RNA", at positions 28 to 507 of the family's 1533-position model. The record is from RNAcentral.